Molecule: transfer-messenger RNA, 366 nt
Filed under: Eubacteriales
Lineage: Bacteria; Bacillati; Bacillota; Clostridia
Also listed under: 1 other name
Description: UBA1740 sp017646745 Standard tmRNA
Rfam family: transfer-messenger RNA
About the family: Bacterial tmRNA, also known as 10Sa RNA or SsrA, is named for its dual tRNA and mRNA-like properties.
Source: RNAcentral
GGGCUCGUAAGGGUUUCGACGGGGAUUUUGAGGUAUGAUAAGCGUGGCGGGCUGGACAAUCCCGUAAUAAUGUCCAACCUUAAAAUAAACGACAACAAUACUGUUGCUCUUGCAGCGUAAGCUGUGACGCGGCCAAAAGUGCCGCCCGUACCGUGGAUGAGGACUACGGCUUCCACCGUGCGUCAAAUUAGUAGUGAACUUGAACCGAGAUUUAGCUUUUGUAUCGGUCAAGCAUUAAAAAGCUACCAAAGUGAGAGCCUGUCUAUCGGCGCUCGCAGAGGAAAAUUCUAAAAGAUAAGACUGCCCACGGAGAAGGUUAUAUCAAGAGGUUUUCGGACACGGGUUCAACUCCCGUCGAGUCCACCA